GCAUAUCAAUAAGCGGAGGAAAAGAAACCAACAGGGAUUGCCUUAGUAGCGGCGAGUGAAGCGGCAAAAGCUCAAAUUUGAAAUCUGGCGGCCUCGUCGUCCGAGUUGUAAUUUGAAGAAGGUAUCUUUGGGUCUGGCGCUUGUCUAUGUUCCUUGGAACAGGACGUCACAGAGGGUGAGAAUCCCGUGCGAUGAGCAGUCCAGAUCCGUGUAAAGUUCCUUCGAAGAGUCGAGUUGUUUGGGAAUGCAGCUCUAAGUGGGUGGUAAAUUCCAUCUAAAGCUAAAUAUUGGCGAGAGACCGAUAGCGAACAAGUACAGUGAUGGAAAGAUGAAAAGAACUUUGAAAAGAGAGUGAAAAAGUACGUGAAAUUGUUGAAAGGGAAGGGCUUGCGAUCAGACUUGGUAUUUUGUAUGUCUUGCUUUCGGGCGGGGCCUCUGCAGUUUACUGGGCCAGCAUCGGUUCGGGUGGCAGGACAAUUGCGGAGAAAUGUGGCACGG
Molecule: ribosomal RNA, 498 nt
Filed under: Spathaspora sp. BG090807.3.9.3.1.11
Lineage: Eukaryota; Fungi; Ascomycota; Pichiomycetes; Serinales; Debaryomycetaceae
Description: eukaryotic LSU rRNA
Rfam family: Eukaryotic large subunit ribosomal RNA
Source: RNAcentral